Molecule: small RNA, 247 nt
Filed under: Arabidopsis thaliana (thale cress)
Lineage: Eukaryota; Viridiplantae; Streptophyta; Magnoliopsida; Brassicales; Brassicaceae
Description: ATSL020830
Source: RNAcentral
AUAUAUUUAAUCAAUAGUAAACAUUCAUUAUAUAUGAAAAAUGUAAGUAACAUACCAUGUCAGGUGAAAUUUGAGGUAUUGUUGAUGACUCUGGACAUGGGAAUACACUCGGUUGUGUAUUCGUUGAGGGAAUCGCCUCGCUUAUUGCAGGACUAGAGAAUAUUCCAUCAAAGUUCUCAAUCUCUGCCGUCAUAGGAUCUUGUAGAAGCUCCUUUAGGAUUGCAUAAAGCCAACAAUUUAAUAUUAU